This 497-nucleotide ribosomal RNA is filed under the name uncultured bacterium. Its description in RNAcentral is "partial 16S ribosomal RNA". It matches the Rfam family "Bacterial small subunit ribosomal RNA", at positions 28 to 507 of the family's 1533-position model. The record is from RNAcentral.
GAUGAACGCUGGCGGCGUGCCUAAUACAUGCAAGUCGAGCGAACGGACGAGAAGCUUGCUUCUCUGAUGUUAGCGGCGGACGGGUGAGUAACACGUGGAUAACCUACCUAUAAGACUGGGAUAACUUCGGGAAACCGGAGCUAAUACCGGAUAAUAUUUUGAACCGCAUGGUUCAAAAGUGAAAGACGGUCUUGCUGUCACUUAUAGAUGGAUCCGCGCUGCAUUGGCUAGUUGGUAAGGUAACGGCUUACCAAGGCAACGAUGCAUAGCCGACCUGAGAGGGUGAUCGGCCACACUGGAACUGAGACACGGUCCAGACUCCUACGGGAGGCAGCAGUAGGGAAUCUUCCGCAAUGGGCGAAAGCCUGACGGAGCAACGCCGCGUGAGUGAUGAAGGUCUUCGGAUCGUAAAACUCUGUUAUUAGGGAAGAACAUAUGUGUAAGUAACUGUGCACAUCUUGACGGUACCUAAUCAGAAAGCCACGGCCAACUACGUG